AUUGAACGCUGGCGGCAUGCCUUACACAUGCCAGUCGAACGGCAGCACGGGUGCUUGCCCCUGGUGGCGAGUGGCGAACGGGCGAGUAAUACAUCGGAACAUGUCCUGUAGUGGGGGAUAGCCCGGCGAAAGCCGGAUUAAUACCGCAUACGAUCCACGGAUGAAAGCGGGGGACCUUCGGGCCUCGCGCUAUAGGGUUGGCCGAUGGCUGAUUAGCUAGUUGGUGGGGUAAAGGCCUACCAAGGCGACGAUCAGUAGCUGGUCUGAGAGGACGACCAGCCACACUGGGACUGAGACACGGCCCAGACUCCUACGGGAGGCAGCAGUGGGGAAUUUUGGACAAUGGGCGAAAGCCUGAUCCAGCAAUGCCGCGUGUGUGAAGAAGGCCUUCGGGUUGUAAAGCACUUUUGUCCGGAAAGAAAUCCUUGACUCUAAUACAGUCGGGGGAUGACGGUACCGGAAGAAUAAGCACCGGCUAACUACGUG
This 486-nucleotide ribosomal RNA is filed under the name uncultured bacterium. RNAcentral describes it as "partial 16S ribosomal RNA". It matches the Rfam family "Bacterial small subunit ribosomal RNA", at positions 30 to 507 of the family's 1533-position model. The record is from RNAcentral.